Molecule: ribosomal RNA, 457 nt
Filed under: uncultured bacterium
Lineage: Bacteria
Description: bacterial SSU rRNA
Rfam family: Bacterial small subunit ribosomal RNA
Source: RNAcentral
CGUGCUUAACACAUGCAAGUCAACGGGAGUAUUGAAGAAGCUUGCUUUAGAGAUACUUUAGUGGCGGACGGGUGAGUAACGCGUGAGGAGCUGUCCUAUGCAGGGGGACAACAGCUGGAAACGGCUGCUAAUACCCCAUAAGCCGAGAGGUAAAAGGAUCAAUCCGGCAGAGGAGGUACUCGCGUCCUAUCAGGCUAGUAGGUGAGGUAACGGCUCACCUAGGCGAAGACGGGUAGCCGGCCUGAGAGGGCGAACGGCCACACUGGAACUGAGAUACGGUCCAGACUCCUACGGGAGGCAGCAGUGGGGAAUAUUGGGCAAUGGGGGGAAAAACCCCCUGACCCAGCGACGCCGCGUGGGUGAAGAAAUCCUUCGGGAUGUAAAGCCCUGUUGUAUGGGAAGAGCGGAAGACGGUACCAUACGAGGAAGCCCCGGCAAACUACGUGCCAGCCGCCGC